GGCCCAUUCCUAGCACACGGACGACAAAUCACGCGCACGCGGGACCACAAUUUCCCAAUUAGGGCGUCUCCUCUACAGCUCUAUAUAAAGAGCCUUAAGACAAUUCAGAAUUAACAAUUUUUUUCCCUCGGCAAUUCCGCAGGCGCAAGGCAGAAGUUCUUCGGUUCUUUCCUUCCUUUCCUUUUUAUUUUUAUUUUUCUGUUUUUAAUUCAGUCAAUGAGUGGCUGAAUUUCUUU
This 236-nucleotide long non-coding RNA is filed under the name Manihot esculenta (cassava). RNAcentral describes it as "long non-coding RNA (MESC_LNC007232)". The record is from RNAcentral. Lineage: Eukaryota; Viridiplantae; Streptophyta; Magnoliopsida; Malpighiales; Euphorbiaceae.